UACAGAGGUCUCAAGCGUUGUUCGGAUUCAUUGGGCGUAAAGGGUGCGUAGGCGGCGCGGGAAGUCGGGUGUGAAAGCCCUUGGCUCAACUGAGGAAGUGCAUCUGAAACUGGCGAGCUAGAGUAUGUAAGAGGGUCGCGGAAUUCCCGGUGUAGCGGUGGAAUGCGCAGAUAUCAGGAGGAACACCAAUAGCGAAGGCAGCUCGCUGGGACGGUACUGACGCUAAGGCGCGAAAGCGUGGGGAGCGAACAGG
Molecule: ribosomal RNA, 253 nt
Filed under: uncultured bacterium
Lineage: Bacteria
Description: partial 16S ribosomal RNA
Rfam family: Bacterial small subunit ribosomal RNA
Source: RNAcentral